This 1051-nucleotide long non-coding RNA is filed under the name Lynx pardinus (Iberian lynx). The record is from RNAcentral. Lineage: Eukaryota; Metazoa; Chordata; Mammalia; Carnivora; Felidae.
CUCUCCUCUCUCUUGCUAAGCUUUGUUUCCUGGCAGUAAUUAAGACCUUCUGCCACUGCCACAGCUACUGCUGCUGAUGGAACCACCACAGCCACCUUGGUUUCAUGGUCUGUCAAAGCAUUGGCCUCUACCACCAUAGGGGCCAGAGUUUCUGCCUCCAAAAUUUCCUCCUUUCAUGGGUCCAAAAUGUGAAGAUGGACUGUUGUAAUUGCCAAUAUCAUUAUAGCUUCUGCUACCUCCAAAGUUGCUUAUUACCAAAUCCAUUAUAGCCAUCCUCACUGCCACCGUAUCUACCAACACUUCAACUGCCGCCAAAGCCACCUUACCCACUGAAGUUUCCUUCACGACCCAAGUUGCCUUCCUGUGAAAACCACCUCCAUGACCACCACUGAAGUUUCCAGAACUACUUCAACCUCUUUGGCUGAAUUAAACCCUAGCCAUCUCUUGCUAGAGCUAUUCUUACUUUGCAGUUGUGGUCAUUCACAGUAUGGUAUUUUUGAACGACAAUCUUAUCUACAGAGUCAUGCUCAUCAAAUGUUACGAAACCAAAGCCUCUCUUUUUGUCACUGCCUCUGUCAGUCAUGAUUUCAAUCACUUUAAUUUUCCCAUACUGUUCAAAAUAAUCUCUUAGAUGAUGUUCUUCAGUGUCUUCUUUAAUGCCACCAACAAAAAUGUUUUUCACAGUUACUUGAGUACCGGGUCUUUGAGAAUCUUCUCUUGAGACAGCCCUCUUUGGCUCUACAACUCUUCCAUCCACCUUGUGUGGCCUUGCAUUCAUGGCUGCAUUCACCUCUCCCACAGUGGCAUAUGUGACAAAUCCAAAGAACUCUGGAGCACUUGGUGUUUGGAUUUCUCAUUACCACACAGUCAGCAAGCAUUCCCCAUUGCUCGGAAUGGCUCCUUAGACUCUUAUGGGUUGUUUCAAAGCUCAAACCUUCAGUGAAGAGCUUCCACAGCUGCUUAUGCUCUUUGGUAAAGUUUGAUUUAGACAUGAUGGUGGUGGGAAGGCAGACUUAACCAUGCUUACUCACCGGUAUCCAUGUGCAUAAAG